Molecule: ribosomal RNA, 438 nt
Filed under: uncultured bacterium
Lineage: Bacteria
Description: bacterial SSU rRNA
Rfam family: Bacterial small subunit ribosomal RNA
Source: RNAcentral
GAGUGGCGGACUGGUGAGUAACACGUGGUGACAGUACCCUCAGAUGGGGAUAGCUAGUUAGAAAUAGUAGAUAAGUACCGAAAUACGAGCACAGGGGUUAGAGAUCUGUGAGGAAAGAGCUAAGGCUCCGCUGAAGGAAUGGCCUGCGGCCCAUUAGCUAGUUGGUGAGGUAAGAGCCCACCAAGGCGAUGAUGGGUAUCCGGCCUUAGAGGGUGAACGGACACAUUGGGACUGAGAUACGGCCCAGACUCCUACGGGAGGCAGCAGCUAAGAAUAUUCCGCAAUGGACGAAAGUCUGACGGAGCGACGCCGCGUGGAUGAAGAAGGCCGGAAGGUUGUAAAAUCCUUUUGAAACUGAAGAAUAAGCGUUGUAGGGAAUGACAGCGUGGUGACAGUAGGUUUUGAAUAAGCAACGGCUAAUUACGUGCCAGCCGCGGC